GUAGGUGAACCUGCGGAAGGAUCAUUAACACGAUACUAACGUAUCAAACCAAAACGUGCUCUUGUUGUUGACCUCUGGUUAUAGUUAGAUUGAGUUAAAGCUUAGUGUGUUGAGGAUAAAGACACUAAGUGAUUGAUUGGGAAGGUUGCAAAGCCUUUCUAAUUGAGAAUUCUUUUUAAUUAUUUCCUUAGGUUCUUUUUUUUAAACCUUUUAUCCUCACAACCAAUAUUAACCAUAUUAACCCCCUUUA
This 250-nucleotide unclassified non-coding RNA is filed under the name plant metagenome. RNAcentral's name for it is "partial contains small subunit ribosomal RNA, internal transcribed spacer 1, and 5.8S ribosomal RNA". The record is from RNAcentral.